This 350-nucleotide ribosomal RNA is filed under the name uncultured bacterium. RNAcentral's name for it is "partial 16S ribosomal RNA". It matches the Rfam family "Bacterial small subunit ribosomal RNA", at positions 338 to 703 of the family's 1533-position model. The record is from RNAcentral.
CCUACGGGUGACAGCAGUAGGGAAUCUUUCACAAUGGGCGAAAGCCUGAUGGAGCAACGCCGCGUGCAGGAUGAAGGCCUUCGGGUUGUAAACUGCUUUUAUAAGCGAGAAAGAUGAUGGUAACUGAGGAAUAAGGAGCGGCUAACGACGUGCCAGCAGCCGCGGUCAUACGGAGGAUCCGAGCAUUAUCCGGCGUGACUGGGGGUCCAGAGUUGCGGAGGUGGCCUAAUAAGUAGCUAGUGACAUCUGGUGGCUCAACCAUUCAGACUAUUAGCUAAACUGUUAAGCUCGAGACCGUUAGGGGUAACUGGAAUUUCUAGUGUAGGCGUGAAAUCCGUAGAUAUUAGCAA